This 1792-nucleotide long non-coding RNA is filed under the name Triticum aestivum (bread wheat). RNAcentral's name for it is "long non-coding RNA (TAES_LNC014758)". Lineage: Eukaryota; Viridiplantae; Streptophyta; Magnoliopsida; Poales; Poaceae. The record is from RNAcentral.
ACAUAUCAUGCUCAUUGACAUGCGCGUGGUUACAGUUACUGUACUGAUUACAAAAUCACCCAGGCUCUGUCAUGAGAAAUAUAAGAUAACAAAAGACAGUUGGUUACUUCUCUCCGAUUUCACAUGGAUAGUUGGAUUUUGGGGUACAUGUGUAGUUUUAGUUCUGUAACUUUGGUUUGAUUGACUCCAUGGUUAGUUGUUCGCACACUGUUGGAUGCUUAGUUCAGUUAAAAAUAUAAUGCCGUAUGAGUAUAAGAAUACUAACGAGCUUUCGAUAAUGCUAGAGCUGCAGUAACAACUAAGGAUCCGAUAAAUAAUAACAUCAUGAAAGGGGCACGGAGCGGCGAUCCAAUAUACACCGGCGAUGAAGGUAUAUUCAUAUACAAUAUGUAUAUGGUACCAUCAUCUCGGGCUUCCUCGGACUUCCUGUUUGACCUUUGUGCCUAUUCAUAUAAUGAUGUGAUUCGACACGCUGAUUGCCUUUUUAUCCACUGAUUUUUCUUUUCUCCCUUUUUAUGAUUAAAUUUUCAGGAAAAUACCACUGUAUGAUUAUAUAGGUUUAACUCCAGUUCACAUUCUUUACUUUUUCAAGUGCAUGCUAUGGUUCAUAUAAUAACUCCAUUUAUUUAUAUUUCACUUUGUCAAGUGCAUGCUAUGGUUCAAAGCAAAAUUCAGUUUUCAAUUAUAAUUCAGUGAUGUUCUCACCUUAGAUUUUAUUUUGCGUAAUUGUAGGAAGUGGGGAUGGACAUUCGUGGAUUUGCCGUCCCUGAUUUGCUUUGUGGAGGUAUUAUCUUUCAUAAUGUGUUGUUAACAUAUCUCUGGAAUAAGUUCUUAUGUUCAGUACAUAUAGUUUGGUUGAUUAUCUUUUAGGGGCCUUCUUUGGAAAGGCUUCGACAGACUGUUUGAAUUACUGCCUUAUUAGGUUAAUAGAAUUUGAACAUGUGACUUUAUCUUUGUGUCAACCAUACAAAGGAGUUAGUGACCUGUUCUUAAUGAUAUAUAAAGGAGUAGGCAGUAGUGCAUGGUAAUAAUAAAAAAUGCAUCAUGUGUAUGUGCAGGACACAUGCCCAUGAUUCAUAAUGAUUUGCGGCAGUCUUAGAAGAAAAUUUCCCAUUGCAUUCAUCCCCCUUUGAGUGUCAAUUGCAAAGUUCAUCCAUUGGUGAAAGGAAACUGUACUCUUCUUUGUUUUAGUGCUCUGCCUCCCUGCUUCUAUGACAGAAUGGCAUGGCUUCGUGUACAAUAAAUGUUCUCUACUCUUGCAGCCCAUGUAUUACUAUUGACAGGGUUUGUCUACACUUAUCUUUAAGGCUACAACCGGGAGUCUCAUAGGUGUGUGAAGAUGAUCUAGGGCAUUGCUUUGUUAGGAGUUCACUUAUGUACAAGAAUGGCAUGUUCUUCCACGUGUAAUAUAUUGUGGUUUUUUCUACUCAACACCACCUGGACCAUGUAUCAUUGUAACCUGCUCUAUGGUUUGGAUCUGAGCACUGGACCAUGGUGCUGGACAGGGCACGACGCCCUAAGACCGCUCUUUGGAAUUCCAAUAUACUUAGAUAGAUAGAAGUGAAAGUUGAGGACCAACAUGUAUGUUGUAUCGUGGAUGUCCCCCUUCAUAGCAUUGUUUUAUGAAAUGCACUAACACUCCGAGAAGUGUUUCUGAGUAUAUUUGUAUAUUUGUUACAACAAGUAUGCUUUGGUAUGAAAUUUGCCAAUAUCGUGUGAUGAACCUUGAUGUUUAGUACUGAAUCAUUACUAAGUGUUUACUAACCUCCUUUUUUAAAUGUUACCUUUGUAG